AAGGGGAGAAGCAAAUAGGAGAUGCGGCUGAUUUGAAAUUAGUAGUAGGGGGUUCGAAUCCUUCCUUCCUUG
RNAcentral lists this transfer RNA (72 nucleotides) under Acanthodactylus boskianus (Bosk's fringe-fingered lizard). RNAcentral's name for it is "tRNA-Ser". It matches the Rfam family "tRNA". From Rfam's summary of the family: Transfer RNA (tRNA) molecules are approximately 80 nucleotides in length. Their secondary structure includes four short double-helical elements and three loops (D, anti-codon, and T loops). Further hydrogen bonds mediate the characteristic L-shaped molecular structure. tRNAs have two regions of fundamental functional importance: the anti-codon, which is responsible for specific mRNA codon recognition, and the 3' end, to which the tRNAs corresponding amino acid is attached (by aminoacyl-tRNA synthetases). tRNAs cope with the degeneracy of the genetic code in two manners: having more than one tRNA (with a specific anti-codon) for a particular amino acid; and 'wobble' base-pairing, i.e. permitting non-standard base-pairing at the 3rd anti-codon position. The record is from RNAcentral. Lineage: Eukaryota; Metazoa; Chordata; Lepidosauria; Squamata; Lacertidae.